Molecule: long non-coding RNA, 3458 nt
Organism: Callithrix jacchus (white-tufted-ear marmoset)
Lineage: Eukaryota; Metazoa; Chordata; Mammalia; Primates; Cebidae
Source: Ensembl
GACCAGGAUGGUCUCUAGCUCUUGACCUCAUGAUCCACCCACCUCAGCCUCCCAAAGUGCUGGGAUUACAGGCGUGAGCCACCGUACCCGGCUUUAAAUUUUUUUUGUUGUUGUUGUUAAUCAAUGAGAGCUUGUAAUGAUGCUCAGGUCAGCCUUGAACUCAUGGCCUCGCCUCCUCAAGUGCCAGGACAACUGGUCGGAGCCACAGUGGCCCCUUAUGAUUGAUUUCUUUAGUUUAUACUUAAGGUCUGUAUCAGUUAGCUGCCAUAACAAAAUUCCAUAAACUGAGUGGAUUAAACAAAAGAAAUUUGUUUUCACAGAUCUGGAGGUGGAAAGUCUGAGAUUGGGUGCCAGGAUUCUUGGGUUCCAGUGAGGAGUCUCUUCCUCACUUGCACACGGCACAGUCCCCUUUCCUAGGUGUGUUCUUGCCAGAAGAGAGAAAGAACAAGCUCUUUGUGUCUCUCUAUAAGAGCACUAAUCCCAUCAGACCAGGGUCCUGCCCUCAUGACUUCAUUUAAUGCUGAUUACCUCCCAAACGCCCUAGCUCCACAUACUAUUACAUUCGAGGUUAAAGCUUCAGCAUAUGAGGAUUCUGGGCAGGCCACAAACAUUCAGUUUAUAACAAGGACCUUGUGUUUCUGGAUCUUAUGCAGGUUACCAUAUUACAUUUAGUCUUUGUGUCUCCUUAGCUUCCUUUAGACUGUAGCGGUUUCUCAGACUUUCCUUUCUUUUUUGGUGACCUUGUCAGGUUUGAGGACUACUGGUCACGUAUUUUGUAGAAUGUCCCUCAAGUUGGAUUUAUCAAAUGUGUUUCUCGUAAUACGUCUGUGUUUAUGGAUGCCUGGGAGGAAGACCAAAAAGAUGAAGUAUCCUUUUCAUCACAUCCUACAAAGGAAAGGCGGGAAACCAGUCAGAAGUGGGAGGCCUCUGAACAAACUGCAUACUGUGUAGGCACCAGCUUCUGCUUUCUCGAGGCAGAACGCUGGCCCUCAGUGCCUCUUUCUGCUUCUCCUUGUUCAGACCACUGAGGACUGCCCCUGUCCUGUCUGACUCCUCCUGUUUUGGUGAGCAAUAUAGAAAGGCUGAGGGAUUGAUAUUAUUUGGCUCCAUAUCUUAGAAAGAUAUUUGGUAGUUACAUAAAGUAUAUGUAGUUUGACCAGUACCACUUAUAACUUUAAAUUGUUGUACAGAAAUUGAUCCUUUAUUAUUUAGAAAAUAUAAUUUAAAGUUAAUAAUACUGAGAGAAUUCAUGAUUCUUUCCUUUUGCCUUACCUGUCCUUUAGUUCUUUUUUUUUUUUUUUUUUUUUUUUUUUUUUUUUUUUUUGCCAAUCAGUUUGAGCUUAUGAGGUUGCUCAGGUUAGCCUUGAACUGAUGACCUCGCCUUCGCGAGCUCCAUGACCUCCGGCGGGAGCCACUUUGGACCCCCCCAGUUCUUUAUUUAUUUCCAGAGCUUUUGUACUGGCUCAUCUUCCCUUUCCUGGGGAGUUGAUUUUAAAAAUUAGAUUUGCAGGAGCUUAUCCCUUAGAGGAUGAUGGAAACCACUUGUACUUGAACUCAAGGAAAUUUUUUUUAAGUUCCCUGUGUGCCCUUUCCAGAUCACAUCCCAGAGAGGGAGACUUCCGCAAUAUUGUGUUAACCAUUUCCUUUCUUCAUGUGUUAUCCACAAAUGUAUAUAUGUAUGUGGUAAUAAGCAUGAAAUUUGCCAUCUUAACCAUCUUUAAGUGCGUAGUUCAGUAGUGAUGAGUGUAUUCACAACAUUGAAUACUAGAUCUCCACGUUUUCAUCUUACAGAACUGAAACUGUAUAUUGAUUGAUCAAUUCUCUAUUUCCCCCAGGCCCAGCAGCUGGCCUUUUGUUUCUGUGAAUUUGACUAUUCUAGAUACUACAUAUAAGUGGAAACUUACAGUGUGUGUCUUUUUGUGAGUGGCAUAUCUGAGUUAGCAUGUUUCAGGGUUCAUCCAUGUUGUCACAUGUUAUAUGACUCAUAAAAGCCAGAAUUUAUUCUUUUGAAAAGCUGAAUAAUGUUCCAUUUAUAAAGUUCUUAAUCUUCAUGUGGCUGAAUUUAUAACAUUCAUAUUUGUAGUGUUCUUAUACCUAGUUUAGGAAAUUCUUCUGUGUCCUGAGAUCAUAAAGAUAGUCUCCUAUAUUUUUAAGAAAUAUUUUUUCUUUGUUUUAAAACAAGAUUAAGUUUUCAGGAAGGUUACCAGUACAAUUCAGAUAACAUUUGCUUUUCCCUGAACCAUUUGCUAAUAAGUUGCUGACUUGAUGACCCAUUGCUUCCAAAUAUUUUAGUGGCAUUUCCUAAGGACAUUCUUCUGUGUAAUAUCAAAAUGACCAUCAAAAUUAGAAAAUUAAUACAUUUCUAUCAUCACACCUUCAACUUUAUUCAAGCUUUACUGGUUAUCUGAUCAAAUUCUGUUUAACAACAGCAUCUAGUUCAGAAUUACUAAACUAGAUUUGGUUCUAAACAGAUUUGGUUCUAAACUCUCCUUAAAUUUCCUUACAUCUAGACCACUCCCUUCCUUGAAUUGAGAUGUAUUCCUUUCUCUUCUAUUUUCUGGGAGGGAUUGUGUAAAACCGGUGUAAAUUCUUUCUAAAAAAUUUGAUAGAAUUCUUUAAUAAAGCCAUCUGGGUGAAGUUGUUUUCAUUUUGUUUUGUUUUGUUGUUUUUUUUUGGUGAGGAGGUGGUGGAUGGAGUUUUUCUCCUGUUGCCCAGGCUGGAGUGCAAUGGCAUGACCUUGGCUCAUUGCAGCCUCCACUUCCUGGGUUCAAGGAUUCUCCUGCCUCAGACUCCUGAGUAACUGGGAUUACAGGCACCCACUACCAUGCCCAGCUAAUAUUUUGUAUUUUGAGUAGAGAAGGGUUUCACCAUGUUUGCCAGAGUGGUCUUGAAUUUCUGACCUCAGGUGAUCAACCCACCUCGGCCUCCCAAAGUGCUGAAAUUACAGGUGUGAGCCACCGCACCUCACUGGCCUAGAGAUGUUUAUGGGAUUUUAAAUUACAAAGCCAGUUUUCUUAACAGUUACAGGUCUAUUUAAAUUUAUAUUGGAUGAGUUGUUGUAGUUUGUGUUUUUUCUGGAAUUGGUGCAUUUCAUCUAAGAAAUUCCAUUUUAGCUAAUCUAUGUGCAACUUUAUUCUUCUUUACCUUAUAUAGACAUAUUUUCAAUGAAAAGAUAAUCUAAUACAUAUAUUUAUAAAAAUAAAUGCAUAUUUUAUAUUUGUAUCAUGUAAUUUUAUAUCUGUAUCAUAUACUUUGGAUCGAGCUGUAGAUGUAGCCAAGAUCUCAGGGGCAGGCUAUAUUCAGCACUGAUGGGAAACUCAGUGACCUGUAAAGUUUGUGUGUCUACACACUUCAGAGUUUGCUCUGCAUGAGUCUCUGACCAUGCAAAUAGCUAUGCUGUGGCUAUAUUCCAUGACUUAUUCGAAAUAAUGUGAUACGGUGCAAAUCAGCUUUGCUAU